UGGGGAAUAUUGCACAAUGGGGGAAACCCUGAUGCAGCGACGCCGCGUGAGUGAAGAAGUAUCUCGGUACGUAAAGCUCUAUCAGCAGGGAAGAAAAUGACGGUACCUGACUAAGAAGCCCCGGCUAACUACGUGCCAGCAGCCGCGGUAAUACGUAGGGGGCAAGCGUUAUCCGGAUUUACUGGGUGUAAAGGGAGCGUAGACGGCAGCACAAGUCUGAAGUGAAAUGCCGGGGCUUAACCCCGGAACUGCUUUGGAAACUGUGCAGCUAGAGUGCAGGAGAGGUAAGUGGAAUUCCUAGUGUAGCGGUGAAAUGCGUAGAUAUUAGGAGGAACACCAGUGGCGAAGGCGGCUUGCUGGACUGUAACUGACGUUGAGGCUCGAAAGCGUGGGGAGCAAACAGG
RNAcentral lists this ribosomal RNA (404 nucleotides) under uncultured bacterium. RNAcentral's name for it is "bacterial SSU rRNA". It matches the Rfam family "Bacterial small subunit ribosomal RNA", at positions 355 to 776 of the family's 1533-position model. The record is from RNAcentral.